CGGGAAGUAUUUCAAUUGGUAGAUGGAAUGCUUUGGGAGCAUUUGGCUGUAGGUUCGAGUCCUGCCUUCCCGA
RNAcentral lists this transfer RNA (73 nucleotides) under Bacteroidia bacterium. RNAcentral describes it as "tRNA-Pro". It matches the Rfam family "tRNA". From Rfam's summary of the family: Transfer RNA (tRNA) molecules are approximately 80 nucleotides in length. Lineage: Bacteria; Pseudomonadati; Bacteroidota; Bacteroidia. The record is from RNAcentral.